AGGGACCCCCUUCACCCAUGCAUCCUCUGCGACCCCUCUACCUCUCUCUUCAGACAUUUCUGGGUUGCAUGGACCUUUAAUCACAAGUUCAUUUGGGGAUGGAAACAAUGCAUAUUGUGCAGUAUUAAGACAGGCUGCAUUUACUAACAAGAUAUUUAUGUUGUUUGUAGAGGAUUUCCUAUCCCCAGGACCUGGCCCAGGCUGAGAGAAGCUGUGUGGAGUGGAAGAUGGACAUUGAGGAAGAAGGGCAGGUGUGGUCUCACCCAGAAUGGUUCCUGCUGCUUCCGCGGUGCCCAGGCUUUUCUCACGGCCUCUGCUGGGUUCUCCCCUGGGUGCUGUGGAUGCAUCCUGCCUGCUGGAAAUUCUGUGCUCUCUGUUUCCAUCCCUUUGUCGUGGUAAUGACCGUAUACCUCUCCCCUGUACCCUCCUCUGCCUGCUCUCCGUGCAGGCCCCUCUCCCUCUGGUUGUCCCAUCAGCAUUUCCCCACAGCUCGUUGUUCCUCCUUCCUCUUUUCUGGUGACCUUUCUACUGAUUGCAUUGUACCUCUUUCCCUGAUAUUAAAGAUGUUUUUAAAAACAACAGA
Molecule: long non-coding RNA, 583 nt
Organism: Homo sapiens (human)
Lineage: Eukaryota; Metazoa; Chordata; Mammalia; Primates; Hominidae
Source: Ensembl